UUCAAGUCAUCAAGAUCCUGAAAAUCAUCAACGGGAAGAUCACCAUGUUGUGAAAAAAAUUGUGUAAAGGAAGGUCCAUGGACUCCUGAGGAAGACAUGAAACUCAUUCAAUACAUUCAAGAACAUGGUGCAUGCAAUUGGCGCAGUCUUCCAAGAAAUGCUGAUAAAACAAGGUCAAAAAUAAUAAUAAUAAUCAUCUUUUGUGUUGUUGAUGAUGAUUUAUCUUGUAAUGAUUUGAAAUGGAAAUUGAACUUUUUUAUGCAGGGCUUCAAAGAUGUGGAAAAAGUUGUCGUCUUCGUUGGACAAAUUAUCUAAGACCUGAUAUCAAGAGAGGAAGAUUUUCAUUUGAGGGAGAAGUGAUUUAUCCAGCUUCACAGUGUUCUUGGAAAUAAGUAAUUAAUAUGUAAUCUCUCCAUGUAUACAAGUUUUUCUUAUAUUGCUACUAAACCUGAAUUUGUUUCUUCUGAUGAUCAAGGUGGGCUGCAAUGGCGGCUCGGUUGCCUGGAAGAACAGAUAAUGAAAUCAAGAAUUACUGGAACACUCAUAUAAGAAAGAGACUUCUUCGAAAUUGGAUUGAUCCGGUUACUCAUGUUCCACGACUCAAUCUUUUAGAUCUCUCAUCACUUGUAAACUUGCCACAAAUUAAUCUUUCGAAUCUAAGAUUGGCAGCUAGUCUUCAGGGAAAUCCUGAAUUAUUACUGGUAAAACUUCAGGAAAGCCAAUUAUUAAAUUCUUAGUUGCAAAACCAGACACUUUGAAACUGAUCGAUUUCAAAAUAACUAUGAUCAACAAAUACCUAUUUGCAAUCCAUCCAACGAUCUUCCUACAACUACUUCAAUUUCAAGUCAAACUCCUUUCAUGCAAGGGAAUAUGAGACAGUUUUCUACGAAGUCAGAAAACUUUGAGUGGCCAAUCAUUUCUAGAUUUUGUGGAAACUUUCUGCUAUGGCCUAUGGGGCUUCUUGUUAAAUACAGAAAGAUUUAUCACGAAAAAAAAAAUCAGUCCUUGAACAGCGGCAGCUAUAACAGCCAUAAUUUCAGCUUUGAUUCAGUUUUGUCGACGCCUCUAUCUAGCCCAACUCCUCUAAAUUCAAGCUCAACGUAUAUCAAUGGCAACACAGAAGAUGAGAGAUCGGGAAAGUUAUUGCAGUAACCUGUUAAAGUUUGAAAUACCAGAGGGUUUAGAUUUUUCUGAUUUCUUGUAAACACUCACACAUUUCAUUCCACUUAUUUUUUUAGUAAUUGUGAUGGCGCAAUUUAUUGUUUGUAUAUUACAUAUUCCUAUAUUUUAUAAACUUUCUUCCCAUGUAGUUGUAAUAAACUUUCC
RNAcentral lists this long non-coding RNA (1326 nucleotides) under Olea europaea subsp. europaea. Lineage: Eukaryota; Viridiplantae; Streptophyta; Magnoliopsida; Lamiales; Oleaceae. The record is from RNAcentral.